UUGACAAAGUGGUCAUUGAGAGCAAUGCCAGUCCCCACAUUGGAGGUGGAAGAAUGUGUGUCACUGUUGAUGUCACAGGAGAUACCUGGUCCUCAGUGUAGCACAGGAUGCCCUUGAGGGAAUCCUCUGAUGCCUGCUUCACCACCUUCUUGAUGUCAUCAUAUUUG
This 167-nucleotide long non-coding RNA is filed under the name Lynx pardinus (Iberian lynx). The record is from RNAcentral. Lineage: Eukaryota; Metazoa; Chordata; Mammalia; Carnivora; Felidae.